RNAcentral lists this ribosomal RNA (826 nucleotides) under uncultured crenarchaeote. RNAcentral's name for it is "bacterial SSU rRNA". It matches the Rfam family "Archaeal small subunit ribosomal RNA", at positions 52 to 859 of the family's 1478-position model. The record is from RNAcentral. Lineage: Archaea; Thermoproteati; Thermoproteota.
UGCGAGUCCCGCCUCUCUAGCUAUGUUGAGACGCGGCAGACGGCUCAGUAACGCGUGGCUAACCUACCCUCAGGACGAAAAUAACCCCGGGAAACUGGGGAUAAUAUUCGAUAGGUGAGGAUGUCUGGAAUGACUUCUCUCCUAAAGGACUUAUAUACAUGCUUCUAUUUCGCCUGGGGAUGGGGCCGCGCCCGAUCAGGUUGUUGGUGAGGUAACGGCUCACCAAGCCUAUAACCGGUACGGGCCGUGAGAGCGGUAGCCCGGAGAUGGGUACUGAGACAAGGACCCAGGCCCUACGGGGCGCAGCAGUCGCGAAAACUCCGCAAUGCACGAAAGUGUGACGGGGCUACCCCGAGUGCCAUCCGCUGAGGAUGGCUUUUCUUUGGUAUAACUAGCCAUGGGAAUAAGGAGAGGGCAAGACUGGUGUCAGCCGCCGCGGUAAUACCAGCUCUCCGAGUGGUAGGGAUGAUUAUUGGGCUUAAAGCGUCCGUAGCCGGCUUAGCAAGUUUCCUGUUAAACCCAGCGACUCAAUCGUUGGAUCGCGGGAAAUACUACUAGGCUAGGAGGCGGGAGAGGUCAACGGUACUUCUGGGGUAGGGGUGAAAUCCUAUAAUCCCGGGAGGACCACCAGUGGCGAAGGCUGUUGACUAGAACGCGCUCGACGGUGAGGGACGAAAGCUGGGGGAGCGAACCGGAUUAGAUACCCGGGUAGUCCCAGCUGUAAACGAUGCGAGCUAGGUGUUGGAAUGGCUACGGCCCAUUUCAGUGCCGCAGGAAAGCCAUUAAGCUCGCCGCCUGGGAGUACGGCCGCAAGGCUGAAACUUAA